This 107-nucleotide small RNA is filed under the name Marmota monax (woodchuck). Lineage: Eukaryota; Metazoa; Chordata; Mammalia; Rodentia; Sciuridae. The record is from RNAcentral.
GCAGGGUGCGGUGGUGCACGUCUGUAAUCCCAGCUACCCUGGAGGCUGAGCCAGGAGGAUUGCAAGUUCGAGGCCAGCCUGAGCAAAUUAGAAAGAUCCUGUCUCAA